RNAcentral lists this ribosomal RNA (497 nucleotides) under uncultured bacterium. RNAcentral's name for it is "partial 16S ribosomal RNA". The stretch from base 20 to 341 matches the Rfam family "Bacterial small subunit ribosomal RNA", at positions 47 to 358 of the family's 1533-position model. The record is from RNAcentral.
GAUGAACGCUGGCGGCGUGCCUAAUACAUGCAAGUCGAGCGAACAGACGAGGAGCUUGCUCCUCUGACGUUAGCGGCGGACGGGUGAGUAACACGUGGAUAACCUACCUAUAAGACUGGGAUAACUUCGGGAAACCGGAGCUAAUACCGGAUAAUAUAUUGAACCGCAUGGUUCAAUAGUGAAAGACGGUUUUGCUGUCACUUAUAGAUGGAUCCGCGCCGCAUUAGCUAGUUGGUAAGGUAACGGCUUACCAAGGCAACGAUGCGUAGCCGACCUGAGAGGGAGGAGGGGAAGAAGGAGACACAGCAACGGGAUGGACGCAAGAGGGAGGGAGCAGUAGGGAGUAGUCAGGAAGGGGCGGAAGAAAGAAAAAGUAAUGAAGAGGGAGAGAAAAAGGGAUUAAGAAAGUAAGAACGUGUUAAGAGGGAAGAACAAGAAAGUAAGGAAAAAUGCAAGGCGAGACGAUAGAUAAAAAAACGGAAGAGGACGAAUAAAAG